UAGGGAAUCUUCGGCAAUGGACGGAAGUCUGACCGAGCAACGCCGCGUGAGUGAAGAAGGUUUUCGGAUCGUAAAGCUCUGUUGUUAGAGAAGAACGUUGGUAGGAGUGGAAAAUCUACCAAGUGACGGUAACUAACCAGAAAGGGACGGCUAACUACGUGCCAGCAGCCGCGGUAAUACGUAGGUCCCGAGCGUUGUCCGGAUUUAUUGGGCGUAAAGCGAGCGCAGGCGGUUCUUUAAGUCUGAAGUUAAAGGCAGUGGCUUAACCAUUGUACGCUUUGUAAACUGGAGGACUUGAGUGCAGAAGGGGAGAGUGAAAUUCCAUGUGUAGCGGUGAAAUGCGUAGAUAUAUGGAGGAACCCCGGUGUCGAAAGCGGCUCUCUGGUCUGUAACUGACGCUGAGGCUCGAAAGCGUUGGGAGCAAACAGG
RNAcentral lists this ribosomal RNA (429 nucleotides) under Bacillota bacterium. RNAcentral describes it as "Firmicutes bacterium partial 16S ribosomal RNA". It matches the Rfam family "Bacterial small subunit ribosomal RNA", at positions 355 to 776 of the family's 1533-position model. The record is from RNAcentral. Lineage: Bacteria; Bacillati; Bacillota.